AGUCCAAAUACUACAGAUAGAGUAAAGAAGGAGACUCCUGGGUCUGCGGACACUGCAGAAAUACCUCAAAGUCUCCGUAGCUCUCCUGGCCUCAAGGAUAGUGCUCCUGAGAUGAAGUACCUGGGUCUGCACAUGAAAAACAUGCGCAGACGAGGCAUGAGUACACUACAACGGUACUCAGUAAGUACCAAGCCUAACCUCGCUCGGGUAGUGACGAGGAAGGUCAGGACCCUACUGAGAUUAAGCAAUAUAAUAAAAAUGCUGGCAACAGUAUGAAAUAAGCAGAAAUAAUGGAAUACAACUGUGAAUUAAGUCAGGUUACACAAACAACAACUAACACACCGAGGAUAAGAUAACACAGAGUAAGAUAGCUCAAUAUGAGUACCAAUUACGAGGAUCUCCAAGGAUAUCAUCAUGUAGUCCAUUUUCAUGUCAAUACCAACAACGAGGAUCUCCCAAGAUACCGUCCUGUAGUCCAUUUCCAUAUCAAUACCAAUAACGAGGAUCUCCCAGGAUAUUGUCCUAUAGUCCAUAAUAUAAAAUCAGGUUGCACAAACAACAACCAACACACUGAGGAUAAGAUAACACAGAGUAAGACAGCUCAAUAUCAGUACCAAUUAUGAGGAUCUCCCAGGAUACUGUCCUGUAGUCCAUUUCCAUGUCAAUACCAAUAACGAGGAUCUCCCAGGAUACCAUCCUGUAGUCCAUAAUAUAAAUAUGCAUGGGGAUCUCCUAGGAAUCUAACCCGUAGUCCCAAAGUAAAUAUGCAGAGGGAUCUCCCGGGAAUCUAAUCCGUAGUCCCAAAUAUAAAUAUGCAGGGGGAUCUCCCGCGAAUCUACCUGUAGUCCCAAAUUAAACAAACAGGGGGGAUCUAUCGGAAUCCCACGUCCAUAGUCCCAAUAUAAAUGCGCAACCACAAUUAGAGAAUAUACAGAAAUAAAGUACAACAAUACAAGUAACAGAUAGUUCUAGCCUAACACGUCUCACAUAGUGCAGUCAAGGAUAUUUAAGCAAGUAGGCAAGUUAAAUCAACUAAACAUAUCUUUCUAAUCAAACACAGGUUAUAAUUGCAAGUAAGAUAAAAUAAGUACGAAAGAAACUCAGUCUCAAUAUCUUAAGUAAAAAUUAAACUUUCAAAGAUUAGCUCAAGUACGCGCUCGUCACCUCACGUACAAGGCACUCAAUUACCAAAUAACAUAUCCUAGGGGAAAGGUUCCCCACACAAUGUUAGACAAGGCACUUACCUCAAACCGGCUCUAAUUCAACUUGAAACCACACGUUUGCCACGAAUAUCCGACUCCAAAUGGCCCAAAUCUAUUCAAUUCAAUUACAUAUCGUAAAUAACAUCUCAAACAAUUGAUUCUGUGAUUAAAUUCAAAGCUAAGACGGGAAAUUAGGUAAGAUGACCAUAAUUCCCCUCAAACCAACAUCUCGUAAUCGGGUGAAACUUAUAUUUGAUUCAAUGAUAAAAUGCAAAAUUAGGUAAAAUGAUCAAAACACCCCUCAGGACGAUAUCUUGGAAUCGGAUAAUUUUCACAUUUUAGAACCCUCUCACGAGUCUAACCAUAUAAAAAUCUCCCAAAUCAGAGGUCAAACACCCCCUCAAAACUCAAUAAUUUGAUCUAUGAAGUUCUACCAAUUUUUCAUUAAAAAUCUAAAAUUAAAGGACAAAAUUAAGAGGAGAUUCAUGGAAAUUGGUCUGAAUUGAGUGAGAAACACUUACCCAAGUCGCCCGGGUAAAAAUCCUUUCAAAAAUCGCCAAGAACCGAGCUCUAAAAGUCAAAAUGUGAUAAAAUGGAUAAACCCUCAAAUUUGGGAUUUAAUUCUGUCUGCCAAGUGAUUUGUGCUAUGCGAUCGCGGGAAAAACAAUGCAAUCGCAUAGAAGGAAAAAUAUUGCUGCCAAAUUUGUGCUAUGCAAUCGCGGGAAAAUCAAUGCUCGCAUAGAAGGAAAUAUUGCUGCCCAAAAUUUGUGCUAUGCGAUCGCGGGACAAGCAAUGUGAUCGCAUAGAAGGAAAAUAUUGAUGCCCAAAUUUGUGCUAUGCGAUCGCGAGCAAAUCAAUGCGAUCGCAUAGAAGGAAAUACCAGAUAGCAGAACAGCAGUUCAAACAUACGAAAAAAUGGCCCAUAGCCCAUCCAAAACACACCCGAGGCCCCAAGGAACUCAACCAAAUCCACAGACAUAUCCCAUAACAUCAUUCAAAAUGGCACCAAUCCUUAAACCACCUAAAACAACACCAGAAACUCGAAUUAAUCAAUGAUUUGAGCCUAAGAACUUGGAAUUUCAUCAAAACACGCUUUCGAUCAAAAACCUAACCAAACCACGUCCGAAUGACCUGAAAUUUUACACACACAUCCCAAAUGACAUGACGGAGCUAAUGCAACUUCCAAAUUUUUGUUCUGACUCCCAGAUAAAAAACUCACUAUCGGAUCGAAAACUUCAAAAAUUCAAACUUUGACAUUUCAAGCCUAAAUGAGCUACAGAAUUCCAAAAUGCAUUCCAAACAUGCUCCCAACCCCGAAAUCACCUAACGGAGCUAAUGGAACUAUCGAAUUCCAUUUCGAGGUUGUCUUUACACUUUUCCGACUACAGACUACUUUCCAACUCCUAUGCUCUCUUUUAGGGACUAAGUGUCCCAAAACUCUCUCAAAUCCAACACCGAACGUCCCGGCAAACCACAAUAGCAGAAAUAAACUUAGGGGAAUCAGUUAAUGGGGGAUCAUGGCGUAAAUUCAAAAAUGACUGGCCGGGUCGUCACCAUCCGCCUACACUUAAAUAUUCGUUCAUCCUCGAACGAGCAUAGAGAACAUACCUGAAGCAAUAGAAAGAUGAGGGUAUCGGCUGCGCAUAUCCCACUCGGUCUCCCAAGUCGCCUCCUCAGCCGGCCGACCCCACCACUGAACUAUUACUGAAGCGAUGUUCUUUGACCUCAACUUUCUUAUCUGCCUGUCCAAUAUAGCCACUAUAUUCUCAACAUAGGACAAACCAUUGUCCAACUGGACUGAGCUGAAAUCCAACACGUGCGACGGGUCACCGUGAUAUCUCAGGAGCAUCGAAACAUGGAAUACCGGAUGAACCCCGACCAAACUAGGAGGCAAGGCAAGCUCAUAAGCAACCUCCCCAACUUGCCUCAAAAUCUCAAAAGGGCCAAUAAACCUCGGAAUCAACUUUCCUUUCUUUCCAAGCCUCAUGAUGCUCUUCAUAGGAAAAACCCGAAGUAAAACACGCUCUCUGACCAUAUAUGAAACAUCACAAACCUUCCAGUCUGUGUGACUCUUCUGUCUAGACUGGAUUGUACGGAGUCUAUCCUGAACCAACUAUGUACGCAAUAGUCGAGCCUCACACGACUCAAACAAACCUACCGAAGACCUGCACCUCCUACCACAUAGAGCCUCAUACGAGGCCAUCUGAAUGUUGGACUGGUAGCUGUUAUUGUAAGCAAACUCCGCCAAUGGCAAGAACUGAUCCGAAGACCCUUCAAACUCAAUCACACACGCACGGAGCAAAUCCUCAAUAAUCUGUAUAGUGCACUCGGACUGUCCAUCCUUAUAGGGGUGAAAUGUUGUACGCAUCGUCACCUGAAUACCCAACUCCUGCUAAACAGCUCUCCAGAACCGUGAGGUGAACUGAGUACCUCUGUCCGAAAUAAUAGAAACUGGAAUACCAUGCAGAUGAACAAUCUCCCAGACAUAAAUCUCCGCCAACCGCUCUGAUGAGUAAGUAGCACACACAGGGAUAAAAUGAGAAGACUUGGUCAGCCGGUCCACAAUCACCCAAAUGGCAUCAAACUUCUUCACAGUCGGAGGGAGACCAACUACAAAAUCCAUGGUGAUCCUCUCCCAUUUCCAUUCCGGAAUCUCUAUCUGCUGAAACAACCCACCUGGUCUCCGGUGCUCAUACUUCACCUGCUGAAAGUUGAGGCAUCUAGCUACAUAUCCAACUAUAUCCUUCUUCAUCCCCCUCCACCAAUAGUGUUGUCUCAAGUCCUGAUACAUCUUCACGGCACCCAGAUGGAUGGAAUACCGUGAACUAUGAGCCUCUGCUAAAAUCUACUCCCGAAGCCCAUCAAUAUUGGGCAUACAAAUCCGGCCCUACAUCCUUAAUAUCCUAUCACCUCCAAUGGUCAGAUCUCUGGCAUCGUCGUGCUGAACCGUUUCCUUGAGGACAAGUAAAUUAGGGUAAUCAUACUGCCGCUCCCUGAUACGAUCGAACAAUGAACUCUCCAAUGGUCACCUCUCUGGCAUCGCCGUGUUGAACUGUGUCCCUGAGGACAAGUAAAUGAGGAUCAUCAUACUGUCGCUCCCUGAUAUGAUCGAACAAUGAAGACCAAGAAACCACGCAGGCUAGAACCCGACUAGGCUCCAAAAUAUCCAACCUCACAAACUAACUGGCUAAGGCCUGAACAUCCAUCGGCAUGGGUCUCUCUGAAGUUGGUAAAUAUGCCAAACUACGCAAACUCUCUGCCCGACGACUCAAGGCAUUCGCUACCACAUUGGCCUUGCCCAGGUGAUACAAAAUAGUGAUAUCAUAGUCCUUUAGCAACUCUAACCACCUCCUUUGGCGAAAAUUUAGGUCCUUCUGCUUGAACAAAUGCUGCAAACUCCUAUGAUCCGCAUAAAUCUCAUAAGGCACACCGUACAAAUAAUGACGCUAGAUCUUAAAGGCAUGAACAAUAGCAGCUAACUCGAGGUCGUGGACAGGGUAGUUCUUCUCAUGUAUCUUCAACUGUCUGGACGCGUAGGCAAUCACCCUACCGUCCUACAUCAACACCCCUCCAAGGCCAACUCUCGAGGCAUCACAAUAGCAGUAGGUAAUAUCAAAAUAGGGGUUGUAGUCGAAGUUGUGCUGCGCUUAUGAAAGCUCGCCUCACAUUCCUCUUUCCACCGAAAUGGGGUACCCUUCUGGGUCAAUCUAGUCAUAAGGGCUGCAAUCGAUGAAAACCCCUCAACAAAACAACCGUAAUAACCUACCAGAAAAAGAAAACUGCAAAUCUCUGUAGCUGAGGAGGGCCUGGGCCAACUCUGCACGACUUCUAUCUUCCUCGGAUAUACCCGAAUGCCCUCGCUCGAAAUCACGUGGCCUAAGAAUGCCACUGAGUCCAACCAAACUCACAUUUUGAGUACUUUGCAUAUAAAUUCUUCUAUCUCAGGAUCUGAAGCACGGUCCUCAAGUGUUGCUGAUGAUCUUCUCUACUCCGAGAAUCUACCAGAAUAUCAUCAAUAAAAACAAUAACGAACGAUUUGAGAUAUGGCAUGAAUACACUGUGCAUCAAAUGCAUAAAAGCUGCUAGGGCAUUAGUCUGCCCAAAUGAUAUAACAAGGAACUUGUAAUGACCAUACCGAGUCCUGAAAGCAGUCUUUGGGAUAUCUGGCUCCUGAAUCUAAAACUGAUGGUAACCUAAGCGCAAGUAGAUCUUAGAAAACACUUGUGCGCCCUGAAGCUGGUCAAAUAGAUCAUUAAUGCGAGGAAAAGGAUAACGGUUCUUCACGGUAACCUUGUUCAACUGGCGAUAAUCAAUACACAUACGCAUAGAACAAUCCUUCUUAUUCACAAACAAAAUAGGAGCACCCCACGGCCGAACACUGGGUCAAAUAAAACCCUUAUCAAGAAAUUCUUGUAACUGAUCCUUCAACUCCUUCAACUCAGGAGGAUCCAUAUGAUACAGAGGAAUGGAAAUGGGUUAAGCGCCUGGCAAGAGAUCAAUGCCAAAAUCAAUGCUCUAUCAGGCGGCAUGCCCGGAAGAUCAACUGGAAACACAUCGGGAUAAUCCCGUACCACUGGAACAGAACCAAUAGAAGAGGUAUCCACACUGACACCUCUCACAUAGGUUAAAUACGUUGCACACCCCUUCUCAACCAUAUGCUGAGCUUUAAGGAAAAAGAUAACUCUACUAGGAGUGUGAUCUAAAGUGUCACUCAACUCAAUACACGGAAUACCUGGCAUAGCCAGUGUCACGGUCUUGGCAUGACAAUCAAUAAAAGCAUAAUGGGGCGACAACCAGUCCAUGCCCAAGAUAAUAUCAAAAUCAACCAUGUUGAGUGAUAUUAAAUCUACCUUGGUCUCAAAACCACGAAUAGUAACUAAACAUGACCGAUAAACGCGAUCCACAAUAAGGGAAUCCCCAACAGGAGUAAAAAUAUAAACAUGGGCACUCAAAGAAUCUCGAGGCACACCCAAAUGCGGAGCGAAGUAAGAAUAAACAUAAGAAUAAGUAGAUCACGAAUCGAAUAGAACUGAUGCCUCUCUAUGGCAAGCCAAUAUAAUACUUGUGAUAAUAGAAUUGCAGGCAACAGCCUCAGCACGAGCAGGAAUGGCAUAAUAUUUGGCCUAGCCUCCCCCACGAGGGCGACCUCUACCUCCCCGGCCUCCACCCCUAGCUACCAGAGCGGGUGGAGCGGUAAAUGGAGCUGUAAUCAUAUCCUGGGAACCUUGUCGGGCAUGUUGUGGCUGAGCAGAAUGUGAAGAUGCACCCCUACCAAGUCUGGGCUAGUCCCUAACCAUAUGGCGGGUAUCCCCACACUCGAAACAAGCUCUGGGAGAGCGUGGUGGCUAUUACGACUAGGGCUACGUCUGUUGGACUGACCUCUGGAAAAAUACCCAGCGCAGGAGGCGCGCUAGAAAUCGGAGAUGCAUAGCAAGGCUCCUGAGGUAUAGGCGGAGCUGGUGCACUGCUAGCUGUUGGAAGAGCUGAAUGAACGAGGUGACCCACUAAACCCCUACCCUGUCAACCUGAUGCUGGGGUACGGGCACCAGAAUAGUGGCCCGACUCUCCAGACCUCUUGGCCUCUCUCUACUUUCGUCCCCUAGCAUGCAUAUUCUCGAUCCUCCUAGCAAUACUUACUACCUGCUGAUAAGGAAUGUCAAUCUCCAACUCUUGAUCCAUGCUAGAUCUGAUAGGUGGGAUAAGACCCUCAAUGAACCUGCAAACUCUCUCGUGGACAGUAGCAACCAAAGCCGGUGCAUGACCGGCCAAUCUGGUAUAACGAAUAGCAUACUCUGAAACGGUCAUAACACCCUGGCACAAAUGCUCAAACUCGGUGCGCCAUGCAUCCCUGAGACUCUGGGGACAAACUCUCUCAUAAACAUCUCCAAGAACUGGGUCCAAGUCAGUAAAUCAGCCUUGACUAGACUAUCUAUCUCAUAGGUGCGCCACCAAUCAUAGGCGGCUCCCGAAGCUAAAAAGUAGUAAAGGAAACCCCGCAGAACUCUACUAUACCCAUAAUGUGAAGAAUACGGUGGCACUCCUCUAGAAAUCUCAAGGCAUCAUUUGUUGCUAAUCCACUGAAAACCGGACGAUCAUAUACUUCUUGAACCUCUCCAACCUCUGUUGCUCGUCCUCAUAAGCAACUGCCCCAUCCACGGGCUGAACUGGCAUUGCAGGCAGAACAGGAAUGAUCUCUAGGACCUGCUCAACCUGCACUCGUUGCUCAAGAGUACGGACGGUGGGAGUCUCUGCUCCUCCCCCAGCCUGGGAUAUGGGUGCAGCGAGGGGAAGCAACACUUCCUGAGCCAAGGUGGUGUACAUAGACAUGAACUGAGCCAACGUCUUCUGAAGGGCUUGAGUAGUACUGGAAGUAGUAGGCGUGCCAGAUGUCUGGGCUCUAGCUGGAUCUGUUGGUGGUGCCUCAGUGGUAGUUCGCGCAGGUGCUCUAGCUGCACCACGUGCGUGUCCCCGACCUCUGCCACGGCCCCGGCCUCUGACGGCUGCAGUAGGGGCGCGGGUGCCUGAUCAUCCCGAGUAGUGCGUAUCCUCACCUUCUGUGAGAGAAUAGAAAACAGAAGUUUAGAUCCAAUGUCAAAAAUAUCGCAGGACAAGGAAAUCAACGAAGUGAAGAUUCUUCCUAAAUAGUUAUAUAGCCUAUCGUAGAUAAGUACAGACGUCUCUCUAGCAAUCAGCGAGACUCUAAUAAAUUGGCAUGUGUCCCGUGACUCCUAUGAACGUAGCGCUCUGAUACCAACUUGUCUCGAUCCAAGUUCACACUCCAUGAACAUGUCGUGAUGGCACCUAGUUCCUACAACUAGGUAAGUCUAAAAAUAUGGAAAUUUAUAUAACUUGUGGAAACAUUUAAUUAAAUUAAGCAAAACUAGAAGAAAACGGUAUAUAUGUGCCACUUGGCAUAUACAACUCAAAAUGCAGAAGUCCACAAUAAUACCCCAAAACCCGGAAACUCACACGAACACAAGCUAACAAAAAGUAAUACAUGGCUCUAACUCCAGAAUAUCUAAAGCAAAAGUACAGAAGAAGUCCAAAUACUACAGAUAGAGUAAAGAAGGAGACUUAUGGGUCUGCGGACGCUACAGAAGUACCUCAAAGUCUCCGUACCUCUCCUGGCCUCAAGGAUAGUGUGCCUGAGAUGAAGUACCUGGAUCUGCACAUGAAAAACAUACGCAUGAGAGGCAUGAAUACACCACAACGGUACUUAGGAAGUGUCAAGCCUAACCUCGGUUGGGUAGUGACGAGGAAAGGUCAGGGCCCUACUGAGAUAUAACAUAAUAAAUAAAAAGAUGAGGGAAAAACAGUAUGGAUAAAGACGCUGCAGAAGUACCUCAAAGUCUCUGUAGAUCUACUGGCCUCAAGGAUAGUGCGCCUGAGAUAAAGUACCUGGGUCUGCACACGAAAAACAUGCGCAGAAGAGGCAUGAGUAUACCACAGCGGUACUCUGUAAGCUCCAAGCCUAACCUCGGUCAGGUAUUAACGAAGAAGGUCAAGGCCCUACUGAGAUUAAGAAAUAUAAUAAAAAUGCUUGCAACAAGAUGAAAUAAGAAGGAAUAAUGGAAUACAACUGUGAAUUAAGUCAGGUUACACAAACAACAACCAUCACACCGAGGAUAAGAUGACCCAGUGAAAUUUCAAUAGUAGGGUCUGGGAAGAAUAGUGUAUACACAAACAUUACUCUUACCCCAAGAGGGUAGAAAGGAUGUUUCUGAAAGACCAUCGGCUCAAGAAAACAAGAAGAGAUAAUAUAUCAGUAUUAUCAACAAAAACAAAGAAAUAACAACAUCAACAUAAAAGCUAGAAAAUAGAUGAAAACAAUAGCAACAAUGUCACGCCCCAAAUCUGGGGAGGUGUGGCUGGCACCCAGUGCCGCACUGGCCCGAAAGAACCACUCUGUAACUUAUGAUCGUUCGACCAAAACUAGAACUUGCAAAGGUUGAGUUGAGUGAGCUCAUUCCUUUUGUAACUAUCAUGGCCCAACAUAGCCACAACUCAUAAUGUACAAUUAUAAUGAUGUGUCAACAAUCCAUUGUACUAAAAACACGAAUACACACAGGCUGUCAAGGCCUCUGACAUAUUGUACAUAAUGAACUUGUGUUUUGCAAAUCCUCUAAGAAUAUUCAACAUCAAACUGGAUAGGACCUCGGCCUAACCAUAAGUCUGUAGAAAAACACUGACAUGAUAACUUAAAGACUCGGUUGCACUUUAAACAAAGUGGAGUCUUUUUUGUCCUUUGAUGAAUGCUAAUCUCGUCUACUACGAGAGCUUGUCAAACUAAUUACCUUCGCAUGUAGCCAUGAAUGCAACAUCUACUACAAAAAGGACAUCAGUACAAAUAAUGUACCGAGUAUGUAAGGCAUGAAAAUCAGUAUAUAAAAGACAUGAAAAAACAUGAAGUAAAAGACUCAAUCUAUAAGUCUGAAUAACUUUGUAAAUCAUAAAACAUUUAUUAUGUCAUACAUAUGCGUAUAAAUAUCAUAUAAUGCAUAGGCAUAUGCGUACAUAACAUCAUCAAGCCACUGAGGGCAUCCCAUCACAUCUUCUCAGCCUCUAUGGACGAAAUCAUCAACGCAUAUUGGCUGAUCAGGUUGUGGUGCUUAUAUAAUAUCGUAACCUUUCUCCCAUGCCCCAUAUAUCAUCUACGUGUAUAUAACGUUGUCUCGUCAUUGGUCAAUAUAUAUAUAUAUAUAUAUAUAUAUAUAUAUAUAUAUUGAGUAGUACUAGAAGUAGUAGGCNNNNNNNNNNNNNNNNNNNNNNNNNNNNNNNNNNNNNNNNNNNNNNNNNNNNNNNNNNNNNNNNNNNNNNNNNNNNNNNNNNNNNNNNNNNNNNNNNNNNNNNNNNNNNNNNNNNNNNNNNNNNNNNNNNNNNNNNNNNNNNNNNNNNNNNNNNNNNNNNNNNNNNNNNNNNNNNNNNNNNNNNNNNNNNNNNNNNNNNNNNNNNNNNNNNNNNNNNNNNNNNNNNNNNNNNNNNNNNNNNNNNNNNNNNNNNNNNNNNNNNNNNNNNNNNNNNNNNNNNNNNNNNNNNNNNNNNNNNNNNNNNNNNNNNNNNNAUAUAUAUAUAUAUAUAUAUAUAUAUAUAUAUAUAUAAAACUGCAAUAAUAAAAUAAGUUUAUAAGAUCUCCUUGAAAUAAUAAGAUCAAUAUGCUUUAGGUUAAUAUCAUUAAUAAAUUUUAUCAACUUACAUAUUUUUGAGACCCAUGAACAGACAAUAUAAUACUAGGACACAUGGGAAAUCAAGAACAUAGGCACUUUUAUUACUUCUAUGGAUAGAGUCAUUUGUGAAAAUUUCGCGUUUGAUUAUUUCGUUGUAUCAUAUGGAUCAUGUCAAAAGAAAAGACAGGUUAGCCUUAAUAUACCUGGUCUUAACCCACUUGCUCAAGAGCUCAAUUCGCAUCCUCUAUGCGAUAAUAAGAAUAAUAUCAUUGUCAACCACAUGAAAAACUCUCUUAAUCGCGUAACCGAAGAUAACCUAUCCUACAAUGAACUGGACAGUAUUUUCCCUGUUAUUAUCAUUACCUCAAGCCCACCAUAGGCAAGGUAAUACAACAGCACAACUAACAAUUCCUAUUAACAAGUUUACAGCUCAAACAAUGAUACAACAAACGAAAAGUUUGGCUACGAUUUUCAGCCACACUUCUCCAAUCUUUUCUUUUUUUGAAAAACACAUAUCAAUGCCAACACCAACUGUCUACUCAAGUUACUCCAAAAAUUUCUAGCAAUAACAAAACUUAGACAAUUACUGAAUAGCCGAUACAACAACAACAACGUUAAAAUAUGAUUUUAAUUCUUAUCCUACAAUUUAGCCAUGACCUAGACAAACUUAAAUAUACCAAGGAGAGGAAAAUUCUUACCUUAUUUUCCAAGAAAUACUCUUAUUGCUCCUUAUUUCACAUCGAAGAGAGUCCGGAUUAACCAACGCGCCAAAACGGAAUAAUAAGAUCAAAGUGGUAUCCAAAACGCACAUAUUGUCUUUGAGAAAGAUUACGCUCUUCUUCUAACCUACUUCGCUUCGAAGAAAUCUCCUAGUUUCUAUCAUCCGGAGGAAAUCGAUGUGGCCAUAAUCCCUAUAUUGUUCUUGCAUUUUGCUUCAAUGCAAGGACAUAUCUUUACCUCUACAGGUUGUAGCUCAUAUUUCUCAUGGGGACCUUUUUCUAAACAACGUUGAGAAGAAGAAAAUUAUGUAUUUCCUCCACACUUGCUAAAGUAUUGCCAUGAUAACUACACAUA
Molecule: long non-coding RNA, 11440 nt
Filed under: Nicotiana benthamiana
Lineage: Eukaryota; Viridiplantae; Streptophyta; Magnoliopsida; Solanales; Solanaceae
Description: long non-coding RNA (NBEN_LNC033898)
Source: RNAcentral